GGGAGGACAUUUAUAACACGUCUGAUAUGAGAGAUGGGAGGACAUUUAUAACACGUCUGAUAUGAGAGAUGGGAGGACAUUUAUAACACGUCUGAUAUGAGAGAUGGGAGGACAUUUAUAACACGUCUGAUAUGAGAGAUGGGAGGACAUUUAUAACAUGUCUAUGAGAGAUGGGAGGACAUUUAUAACACGUCUGAUAUGAGAGAUGGGAGGACAUUUAUAACACGUCUGAUAUGAGAGAUGGGAGGACAUUUAUAACACGUCUGAUAUGAGAAAUGGGAGGACAUUUAUAUCACGUCUGAUAUGAGAGAUGGGAGGACAUUUAUAACACAUGUCUGAUAUGAGAGAUGGGAGGACAUAUAUAACACGUCUGAUAUGAGAGAUGGGAGGACAUUUAUAUCACGUCUGAUAUGAGAGAUGGG
This 422-nucleotide long non-coding RNA is filed under the name Salmo salar (Atlantic salmon). RNAcentral describes it as "lncRNA (ENSSSAG00000082714.1)". The record is from RNAcentral. Lineage: Eukaryota; Metazoa; Chordata; Actinopteri; Salmoniformes; Salmonidae.